RNAcentral lists this ribosomal RNA (467 nucleotides) under uncultured bacterium. Its description in RNAcentral is "bacterial SSU rRNA". It matches the Rfam family "Bacterial small subunit ribosomal RNA", at positions 30 to 507 of the family's 1533-position model. The record is from RNAcentral.
AUUGAACGCUGGCGGCAGGCUUAACACAUGCAAGUCGAGCGGAGACUUCGGUCUUAGCGGCGAACGGGUGAGUAAUACCUAGGAAUCUGCCUAUUAGUGGGGGAUAACGAAUCGAAAGGUUCGCUAAUACCGCAUACGUCCUACGGGAGAAAGGGGGGGAUCUUCGGACCUCUCGCUAAUAGAUGAGCCUAGGCCGGAUUAGCUAGUUGGUAGGGUAAAGGCCUACCAAGGCGACGAUCUGUAGCUGGUCUGAGAGGAUGGCCAGCCACACUGGAACUGAGACACGGUCCAGACUCCUACGGGAGGCAGCAGUGGGGAAUAUUGGACAAUGGGCGCAAGCCUGAUCCAGCCAUCCCGCGUGAAGGAUGAAGGUCCUCUGGAUUGUAAACUUCUUUUCUUCGGGAAUAAAAACUGGGGUUCUCCUCAGCUUGAAGGUACCGAAGGAAUAAGCACCGGCUAACUCCGUG